GGAGUUAGCCGGUGCUUCUUCUGCGAGUAACGUCACAGAUGUAAGGUAUUAACUUACACCCUUUCCUCCUCGCUGAAAGUGCUUUACAACCCGAAGGCCUUCUUCACACACGCGGCAUGGCUGCAUCAGGGUUUCCCCCAUUGUGCAAUAUUCCCCACUGCUGCCUCCCGUAGGAGUCUGGGCCGUGUCUCAGUCCCAGUGUGGCUGAUCAUCCUCUCAGACCAGCUAGGGAUCGUCGCCUAGGUGAGCCUUUACCUCACCUACUAGCUAAUCCCACCUGGGCUUAUCCAUCAGCGCAAGGCCCGAAGGUCCCCUGCUUUCCCCCGUAGGGCGUAUGCGGUAUUAGCAGUCGUUUCCAACUGUUAUCCCCCACAAAUGGGCAAAUUCCCAGGCAUUACUCACCCGUCCGCCGCUCGUCAUCUUCAAAAGCAAGCUUUUGAAAUGUUACCGCUCGACUUGCAUGUGUUAGGCCUGCCGCCAGCGUUCAAUCUGAACCAGAUACAAAUUCUGA
RNAcentral lists this ribosomal RNA (511 nucleotides) under uncultured bacterium. RNAcentral describes it as "partial 16S ribosomal RNA". The record is from RNAcentral.